This 316-nucleotide ribosomal RNA is filed under the name Arthrobacter sp. RT-1. RNAcentral's name for it is "bacterial LSU rRNA". It matches the Rfam family "Bacterial large subunit ribosomal RNA", at positions 1612 to 1910 of the family's 2925-position model. The record is from RNAcentral. Lineage: Bacteria; Bacillati; Actinomycetota; Actinomycetes; Micrococcales; Micrococcaceae.
GAAAAGCAUCGACGCGAGGUUUUAGCCGCCCGUACCCCAAACCGACACAGGUGAUCAGGUAGAGAAUACUAAGGCGAUCGAGAGAAUUAUGGUUAAGGAACUCGGCAAAAUGCCCCCGUAACUUCGGGAGAAGGGGGGCCCCAACCUUGAACGGACUACGCGUCCGGGAGGGGAUCGGGGCCGCAGAGACCAGGGGGAAGCGACUGUUUACUAAAAACACAGGUCCGUGCGAAGUCGCAAGACGAUGUAUACGGACUGACUCCUGCCCGGUGCUGGAAGGUUAAGAGGACCGGUUAGCCUCACGGCGAAGCUGAGA